UGGAAAACUCUCUUAUUCUCAGGUAUGCACACUCUCUCUAAACUUAGUCAAUUUUACAAACAGAGAAGCAAGAAGGGUUGGGCCAUUGGGGGUGAUCGUAACACUAAGUUUUUUCAUCAAGCUGUGAUCAAAAGAAGGAGGAAUACUAUUUGUUCAAUUAAAGAUGAGAAUGAUGUGUUGCACUUAAAGCCUAGUUCUAUUACUAAUACUUUUGUCAAUUAUUAUGUUAACAUUGAGAGACCUUUUCUCACCACUCAUUUACCCGAGAACUCUUUAGAUCCCACUUAUUUUAUUCCUGGUAAACAUGAAGUCUUGCAGAUUUUGAAAGAUAUGAAGCUUAAUGCUUCUCGGGGUCCGGAUGGAUUUAAUGUUGAAUUUUAUUUGGCGGCCUGGGAGUGGAUAGGAUAGGAAGUCACUCAGCUUCUGGUAAGCUUUUAUCAAACUGGUAUCUUACCUCCUCAUAUAAAUGAUACUAAUAUCGCUCUUAUUCCGAAAAAGUUAGUGCCUCAGGUUCCUAUGGAUUAUCGCCCUAUUAGUCUUUGUAAUGUCGUUUAUAAAAUCAUUGCUAAAUCUUGGCUAAUAGGAUUAAACCUCAUCUUCCUGAUUAUAUUGAUCCUGCUCAGUAAGCAUUUAUUGAGGGUAGAAGAAUUAGUGAUAAUAUCAUCAUUGCUCAAGAGAUUACUCACACUUUCUCUCUUAAAACGUGGAAUCAUCAAGCUUUCAUGCUGA
RNAcentral lists this ribosomal RNA (729 nucleotides) under Triticum aestivum (bread wheat). RNAcentral describes it as "partial small subunit ribosomal RNA". The record is from RNAcentral. Lineage: Eukaryota; Viridiplantae; Streptophyta; Magnoliopsida; Poales; Poaceae.